RNAcentral lists this ribosomal RNA (1511 nucleotides) under fish gut metagenome. RNAcentral's name for it is "Bacterial small subunit ribosomal RNA". It matches the Rfam family "Bacterial small subunit ribosomal RNA". The record is from RNAcentral.
UUUUGAGAGUUUGAUCCUGGCUCAGGAUUAACGCUAGCGGGAUGCCUAAUACAUGCAAGUCGAACGAAGUAUUUAUACUUAGUGGCGAACGGGUGAGUAACACGUAUCCAACAUACCCAUAAGAGGGGGAUAACUAGUUGAAAAACUAGCUAAUACCCCAUAGCAUAUUUUUACAUAAGUAUUGAUAUUUAAAGUUGCGUUUGCAACACUUUUGGAUUGGGGUGCGACGUAUUAGAUUGUUGGUGAGGUAAUGGCUCACCAAGUCGAUGAUGCGUAGCUGUGCUGAGAGGCAGAACAGCCACAAUGGGACUGAGACACGGCCCAUACUUCUACGGAAGGCAGCAGUAGGGAAUUUUCCACAAUGGACGAAAGUCUGAUGGAGCAAUCCCGCGUGAAUGAUGAAGGUCCUACAAGAUUGUAAAGUUCUUUUAUUGGGGAAGAAAUGUAAGAAAAGGAAAUGUUUCUUAUUUGACGGUACCCUUUGAAUAAGUAUCGGCUAACUAUGUGCCAGCAGCCGCGGUAAUACAUAGGAUGCAAGCGUUAUCCGGAUUUACUGGGCGUAAAGCGAGCGCAGGCGGAUUUACAAGUCUGAUGUUAAAGACAACUGCUUAACGGUUGUUUGCAUUGGAAACUGUAAGUCUAGAGUAUAGUAGAGAGUUUUGGAACUCCAUGUGGAGCGGUGGAAUGCGUAGAUAUAUGGAAGAACACCAGAGGCGAAGGCGAAAACUUAGGCUAUAACUGACGCUUAGGCUCGAAAGUGUGGGGAGCAAAUAGGAUUAGAUACCCUAGUAGUCCACACCGUAAACGAUGGUAAUUAAAUGUCGGCACGGCAAUGUGUCGGUAUUACAGCUAACGCAUUAAAUUACCCGCCUGGGUAGUACAUUCGCAAGAAUGAAACUCAAACGGAAUUGACGGGGACCCGCACAAGUGGUGGAGCAUGUUGUUUAAUUCGACAAUACACGUAGAACCUUACCUAGGUUUGACAUCUCUGGCAAAGCUAUAGAAAUAUAGUGGAGGUUAACCGGAUGACAGGUGGUGCAUGGUUGUCGUCAGCUCGUGUCGUGAGAUGUUGGGUUAAGUCCCGCAACGAGCGCAACCCUUAUUAUUAGUUACUUUAUCUAAUGAGACUGCCAGCGUAAGCUGGAGGAAGGUGGGGAUGACGUCAAAUCAUCAUGCCCCUUAUAUCUAGGGCUACAAACGUGCUACAAUGGCAAGUACAAACUGUUGCGAACCAGUAAUGGGGAGCUAAUCAUAAAAAGCUUGUCUCAGUUCGGACUGAGGGCUGCAAUUCGCCCUCAUGAAGUUGGAAUCACUAGUAAUCGCGAAUCAGACAUGUCGCGGUGAAUACGUUCCCGGGUCUUGUACACACCGCCCGUCAAACUACGAGAGCUGGUAAUGCCUAAAACCGUUAAGAUAACCUUCGGGAGUCUUGCGUCUAGGGUAGGACUGGUGAUUGGAGUUAAGUCGUAACAAGGUACCCCUACGGGAAUGUGGGGGUGGAUCACCUCCUU